GCAGGUUUGGUGGAGUGCCCAAAAAAGAUUUUAUUGUUCACAGAGACCGCAUGGUCUGAGGGCCUGGAUCCAAAGAUGCAAGGACAUGUCCUCCACAGGGUUUUCGCCUACUGUGAUACAAAAGAAUGGCUCAUGAUCUCCUCCACGGGGUAACCAAUCAUGAAAGAACUUCUGGAUAAAGAACAUAGUUUCUGGAUGUCUUCUGUCUAAGACUGCACAAACUUCUGAUGGAAGAGGUGCCAGAGACGAAGAUGCUUGGAUAGCAGGAGAGCAGAUGGCAACUGAGCUCACAGUCCUCCUAUGCCAGAGUAGCAUCUAUUCAUGGAAACCUACAAUUCUGACUGCCAAAAAUGAGCUUCAGAGUUCAGAAGACAAGUCUAGGGCGAUCUACAGGAAACAGCGGUUCUUGGAGCUUCUCGUUUUCCCCACUGGUCUCUGUGCUUCAGAUAACGUCAAGACUUUACCAAGCUCGAAGAUUUAGUGGGUCCUCAGAAAAGCAAGCUAUCUGUGACGUAAUCCUCAUAUGCUGUGGACAGAAAGUAAGGGCAGAGAAGUAUAUUACAAUGAUUCUUUUUUUUUUCCUAAUUCUGAAAAUAAUUUCACAACUACUGUCAGAAAGAUGUAAGCCUGCAAUGUCACAGACACUUUUCCUUAAUUUCUGCAUUUUUGCAAGGGAGUUUAGAUGCAAUCUGACAGCAACCAAAACUUUUUUUCACAUCAGAAAAGAAAACUAUAGCCAAGGAAAUGCCUAAACAAAUGGUAGUCAUUGAUUGCUGUCCUUUAGUUUCUUUUAAAUGUAAAGAGUAAAAGUUGAAUGAUUUUCUUAAAUAAUUCUGAAAAGUAUGUGGC
Molecule: long non-coding RNA, 849 nt
Organism: Cyanistes caeruleus (blue tit)
Lineage: Eukaryota; Metazoa; Chordata; Aves; Passeriformes; Paridae
Source: RefSeq, a predicted model, not a curated record